GGCACGUCUCUCUACCCCUCUCCAGAAGUAUCUCGCACCGCCAGCUCUCUUCCUCUCCCUUCUUUCUUUCUCCAGCUCGAGCGUGCGCGAGCAGAGCAGAGCCAUGGUUGCCGCCCGACCCCCCACGCCGAGCCGCCGUCUGAGCUCGCCCCGACCUCCACCAACGCUCCAGGCGCACUCACCACCUCCUAUGGCACCUCCCCGAAUUGCCAGACCGCCGCUCCGGCCACCAUCUUACCGGAACAGAACCCGCCGCCGCCGCCCAGACCACCCGCACUUCGAGCUCCCUUCCCCGGUUCUCCUCCGCCCAAACCGACCCUCGGAAUGGGUCGCUCUCGACUUGCUGAUGCUCACCGGCCUACCCACCGCCGCCCUCCCUCGCCAGAACACCGCUGCACGCCGCGCCGAGCGCCGCCUCUCACUGCUCCCGCCGUCGGCGCCUCUCCGAUCAUCUCCGACCCCGACCGAGCGCACCACCAGAAUCCGUAGCGGAGGGCGUCGUCUAUGAGUUGGUUGUGAAGCCCAGGAGCUAGCGGAGCAUGCCAGGAAGAAGUUCAUUUCACAUGCACUCAUGUAGAAUCCCGGAGCAUGCCAGGAAGAAGUUCAUCUCACAUGCACUCAUGUAGAAUCCGUAGCGGAGGACGUCGUCUAUGAGUUGGUUGUGAAGCCCAGGAGCUAGCGGAGCAUGCCAGGAAGAAGUUCGUGAAGACCCGGCCCAAGGCUGCAAGUAAUACUAACCUUGCUCAGCAAAAAGGCAAGCCCCGGUGCAUAUCCUAUUAUUUGAAAUUAUGACACCUAUAUAUGUAUUUAUUACUUGUGCAUUACGUUUCAGGAGUUGAUUGGAACCCUAGUUGUAUGAUCCAUAGGUUUUCCUGAAUUAUACUAGCAUGUAUAGGACGAUAGAAAUGCUAUGCCUAAUACUUCUCGAUAGAAGUCGAGUGACUUUUUGCACUCGCGAGAUAUAUGAUACUUAGAAGUCGAGUAAUUUCCGGUUACUCGCGAGAUAUAGGUUAUAUACUUAUAAAUAGUACAUGAGUUGUUGAAAUUGACAUGGAAAUAUGAGACCGGGCGGGGAAUGAUGAUGAUGUAUAGGUAUGACAGUAGGACAGGGUUCCUGGGUGUCUUAGCCCCGUCCGAGUCGAUUGAGGACCGUACCGUUGUUGGCCCUGCUGAUCAUGUUUGAAUUGUACAAACCGCAUACCGGGAGUAGGAGGUAGUCGAAACCGGUAAGCCGAGUACUGCCUUGCUUCGAAAGUACAGGAACCCGCACCCAACUCCUGGGGUAGUUGAGUAGUCGCGGAGAAAUGUGGAUGCAUAUGUUUACUUUUGGUGGUCUCACGUUGAGCUCGGCUGACCAUAUAUCGUUGGGCUGGUUCCUGUAGUUCGAGGCGGGGAGUGGAAUGGUUGGUCCGUAUGGUCCGACGGGGCUAAUACGUGCCGUGUUGGUUAGGUCCACCUUGCAAGGUUAAAUCGGAUCGAUUCGUCUUCAGUCGCUCUCGGACAUGAGCACCUUGAUCUCCGAGUCACAUCGUAGUAAGGAAAUGAAACGAAAUGAUAUGAUACAUGUUGAUGUUAUUGAAUCAUUUAUGUUUUCACAUUGAUUGUUAUAGAUCUGCAAAUCAUAGAUGUGUACCAACUUUAUAACUAUAAUUUGGAGCUAAAAUUUUGAAAUUAAGGAUCUACCCUUAGAUGUUUUUCUGCAAAUAAAUCCACCAGCCAGAAAGCUUUGCAUGUCUAGAUAUGUGAGCUAAGUAUACCCAAAAGUCGGGUAAGUCUUGCUGAGUAUUAGUAUACUCAGGGUUUGUUGUUUACCCUGUUUCGGGUAUAGAAGCUAACCAGGAUUCGCAUCAGUGGGCUCGAUGUGACGUCCUCACGUAUUCAUAGUUAUCGUUUUGUUUUAUUGGUUGUCAAUCAAAUUUACUUCUCUCAGGUCAUAUUUUCUUCCGCUGCUGUCAUUUAUUUUAUGUAAAUUCUAAAUUUAAAGUUGUUUUUGUAAAUAUUUAUGUUAUUAUUUAUUUUUGUGAAAUUAUAUUAUGCUGGUACC
Long non-coding RNA from Panicum virgatum (switchgrass), 2044 nucleotides. RefSeq lists it as uncharacterized. The transcript has 2 exons. The record is from RefSeq and is a predicted model, not a curated record. Lineage: Eukaryota; Viridiplantae; Streptophyta; Magnoliopsida; Poales; Poaceae.